GAGCAUGUGGUUUAAUUCGACGCAACGCGAAGAACCUUACCUGGCCUUGACAUGCAGAGAACUUUCCAGAGAUGGAUUGGUGCCUUCGGGAACUCUGACACAGGUGCUGCAUGGCCGUCGUCAGCUCGUGUCGUGAGAUGUUGGGUUAAGUCCCGUAACGAGCGCAACCCCUAUCCCUAGUUGCUAGCAGUUCGGCUGAGAACUCUAGGGAGACUGCCGGUGACAAACCGGAGGAAGGUGGGGAUGACGUCAGGUCAUCAUGGCCCUUACGGCCAGGGCUACACACGUGCUACAAUGGCGCGCACAGAGGGCUGCAAACCCGCGAGGGGGAGCCAAUCUCACAAAACGCGUCGUAGUCCGGAUCGCAGUCUGCAACUCGACUGCGUGAAGUCGGAAUCGCUAGUAAUCGUGAAUCAGAAUGUCACGGU
Molecule: ribosomal RNA, 428 nt
Filed under: Marinobacter sp.
Lineage: Bacteria; Pseudomonadati; Pseudomonadota; Gammaproteobacteria; Pseudomonadales; Marinobacteraceae
Description: bacterial SSU rRNA
Rfam family: Bacterial small subunit ribosomal RNA
Source: RNAcentral